Molecule: small nucleolar RNA, 125 nt
Filed under: Oncorhynchus tshawytscha (Chinook salmon)
Lineage: Eukaryota; Metazoa; Chordata; Actinopteri; Salmoniformes; Salmonidae
Description: Small nucleolar RNA SNORA71
Rfam family: Small nucleolar RNA SNORA71
About the family: The members of this family belong to the H/ACA class of snoRNAs which bind a number of proteins (including dyskerin, Gar1p and Nop10p) to form snoRNP complexes. This class of snoRNAs are thought to guide the sites of modification of uridines to pseudouridines by forming direct base pairing interactions with substrate RNAs.
Source: Rfam by way of RNAcentral
CCCUGUAUCGAAAGUGACUACGGCAUGACUGUUGUCCUAGUCAUUGAUAAUACAGGAAUAGUGAUGAAAGAUUUUCCCGUGUUUGUUGGAAUACCUGUCCUGUCAAACCCUGUAUCUUUCGAACA